This 852-nucleotide ribosomal RNA is filed under the name Maublancomyces americanigigas. Its description in RNAcentral is "Gyromitra americanigigas partial large subunit ribosomal RNA". It matches the Rfam family "Eukaryotic large subunit ribosomal RNA", at positions 74 to 935 of the family's 3401-position model. The record is from RNAcentral. Lineage: Eukaryota; Fungi; Ascomycota; Pezizomycetes; Pezizales; Discinaceae.
AUUGCCUCAGUAACGGCGAGUGAAGCCGCAACAGCUCAAAUUUUAAAGCUGGCGUCCUCGACGCCCGCGUUGUAAUUUGGAGAGGCAUCUUCGGUUUGGGCGCCAGCCUAUGUUCCUUGGAACAGGACGUCACAGAGGGUGAGAAUCCCGUGCUUGGCUGGCUGUCCCUCUCCAUGUGAAGUGUCUUCGACGAGUCGAGUUGUUUGGGAAUGCAGCUCAAAAUGGGUGGUAAAUUUCAUCUAAAGCUAAAUAUUGGCGGGAGACCGAUAGCGCACAAGUAGAGUGAUCGAAAGAUGAAAAGCACUUUGAAAAUAGAGUUAAAAAGUACGUGAAAUUGUUGAAAGGGAAGCGCUUGAGACCAGACUCGGCCGGAGACGAUCAGCGGUCCUUUUGGGCCGUGCACUCGUCCUCGGUUGGGCCAGCAUCGGUUGAGACGGUGGGAUAAAGGUCCGGGGAAUGUGGCUCCUUUCGGGGAGUGUUAUAGCCCCGGGCGCAAUGCCGCCAGCCUCGACCGAGGACCGCGCUCUUUUGCUAGGAUGCUGGCGUAAUGGUCUUCAGCGACCCGUCUUGAAACACGGACCAAGGAGUCUAACAUCUAUGCGAGUGUUUGGGUGUCAAACCCUUGCGCGUAAUGAAAGUGAACGUGGGUGGGAACCUCUCGUAAGGGGGGCGCACCAUCGACCGAUCCUGAUGUCUUCGGAUGGAUUUGAGUAGGAGCAUAGCUGUUGGGACCCGAAAGAUGGUGAACUAUGCCUGAAUAGGGUGAAGCCAGAGGAAACUCUGGUGGAGGCUCGCAGCGGUUCUGACGUGCAAAUCGAUCGUCAAAUUUGGGUAUAGGGGCGAAAGACUAAU